GACGAACGCUGGCGGCACGCCUAACACAUGCAAGUCGAACGGUGAAGAGGAGCUUGCUCCUCGGAUCAGUGGCGGACGGGUGAGUAACACGUGAGCAACCUGCCUUUCAGAGGGGGACAACAGUUGGAAACGACUGCUAAUACCGCAUAAUGUCAUUUGGGGGCAUCCCCGAAUGACCAAAGAUUUAUUGCUGAAAGAUGGUCUCGCGUCUGAUUAGCUAGAUGGCGGGGUAACGGCCCACCAUGGCGACGAUCAGUAGCCGGUCUGAGAGGAUGAACGGCCACAUUGGGACUGAGAUACGGCCCAAACUCCUACGGGAGGCAGCAGUGGGGAAUAUUGCACAAUGGGGGAAACCCUGAUGCAGCGACGCCGCGUGAGUGAAGAAGUAUUUCGGUAUGUAAAGCUCUAUCAGCAGGGAAGAAAAUGACGGUACCUGACUAAGAAGCCCCGGCUAACUACGUG
This 462-nucleotide ribosomal RNA is filed under the name uncultured bacterium. RNAcentral describes it as "bacterial SSU rRNA". It matches the Rfam family "Bacterial small subunit ribosomal RNA", at positions 28 to 507 of the family's 1533-position model. The record is from RNAcentral.